CGCGUAGGCGGUUUUGUAAGUCGGAUGUGAAAGCCCCGGGCUUAACCUGGGAAUUGCAUUCGAUACUGCAUAACUAGAGUACGGUAGAGGGAAGUGGAAUUCCGGGUGUAGCGGUGAAAUGCGUAGAUAUCCGGAGGAACACCAGUGGCGAAGGCGACUUCCUGGGCCAGUACUGACGCUGAGGUGCGAAAGCGUGGGGAGCAAACA
Molecule: ribosomal RNA, 207 nt
Filed under: uncultured bacterium
Lineage: Bacteria
Description: partial 16S ribosomal RNA
Rfam family: Bacterial small subunit ribosomal RNA
Source: RNAcentral